This 245-nucleotide ribosomal RNA is filed under the name uncultured bacterium. RNAcentral describes it as "partial small subunit ribosomal RNA". It matches the Rfam family "Bacterial small subunit ribosomal RNA", at positions 26 to 285 of the family's 1533-position model. The record is from RNAcentral.
AGAAUCAACGCUGGCGGCGUGCCUAACACAUGCAAGUCGAACGAGAAAGUGGAGCAAUCCAUGAGUAAAGUGGCGCACGGGUGAGUAACACGUGACUAACCUACCCUUGAGUGGGGAAUAACUUCGGGAAACCGAGGCUAAUACCGCAUAACACCUACGGGUCAAAGGAGCAAUUCGCUUAAGGAGGGGGUCGCGGCAGAUUAGUUAGUUGGUAGGGUAAUGGCCUACCAAGACGGUGAUCUGUA